AUGAAGGGGAAAUAUCUGAUGUGCUAUAUGCAGGCCAGGCACUGCUUGAACGUGCGGCUCCCGUCGGUCGACCUCGUAUCGAUAAGGUGUGUGUCUACAAGGAAGUGGCUUAGAAGCUGCUCCUCUCCUCCCCCUCCUCCUCCUCCCUUCCCCACCUCACCGACUACCAGCCAUCCAGCCAUGGCUCAGCUCCUCCCUCUUUCCUCCGCUGCUCCCAGCUUCCGUCUCGCCGCGACGCCAGGCAAUGGCGUCCCCCGGUUGUCCGUGACGUCGGCCCGCUCUGCUGCUCGUGUGAGCAGGAGGAGCAUGAGGCCCAAGUCCCUGAGCGUGAGGUGUGAGCAGGGGUCCAAGGGCGGCCCCGGGCUGGACGUGUGGCUCAGCCGCGGCGCCAUGCUCGCCUUCUUCGGGGCGGUCGGCGUGGAGCUCACCACCGGCAAAGGGGUGCUUCAGAACGUAGGGCUGAUGGCGCCGCUGCCGGCGUUGGCGCUGGGGCUCACCGGAGUGGUCGGGGUCGUCACCGCAUUUAUCAUCUUCCAGUCGGGAUCGUCGGAUUGA
RNAcentral lists this ribosomal RNA (555 nucleotides) under Triticum aestivum (bread wheat). RNAcentral describes it as "partial small subunit ribosomal RNA". Lineage: Eukaryota; Viridiplantae; Streptophyta; Magnoliopsida; Poales; Poaceae. The record is from RNAcentral.